RNAcentral lists this ribosomal RNA (326 nucleotides) under uncultured eukaryote. RNAcentral's name for it is "partial 18S ribosomal RNA". It matches the Rfam family "Eukaryotic small subunit ribosomal RNA", at positions 1470 to 1796 of the family's 1831-position model. The record is from RNAcentral.
CCCUUAGAUGUUCUGGGCCGCACGCGCGCUACACUGAUGCAUUCAACGAGUCGAUCCUUGCUCGAAAGAGCCGGGUAAUCUUUUGAAAUUGCAUCGUGAUGGGGCUUGCGGGAUGCAACUACCCGCACCAACGAGGAAUUCCUAGUAAACGCAAGUCAUCAGCUUGCAUUGAUUACGUCCCUGCCCUUUGUACACACCGCCCGUCGCUCCUACCGAUUGAACGAUCCGAUGAAAACUGUGGAUUGAGAGUCUGAGUGGGUUCGCCUACCUCAACUUUCGAGAAGCGGUUUAAAUCUUAUCGUUUAGAGGAAGGAGAAGUCGUAACA